Molecule: transfer RNA, 72 nt
Filed under: Ovis aries (sheep)
Lineage: Eukaryota; Metazoa; Chordata; Mammalia; Artiodactyla; Bovidae
Rfam family: tRNA
About the family: Transfer RNA (tRNA) molecules are approximately 80 nucleotides in length. Their secondary structure includes four short double-helical elements and three loops (D, anti-codon, and T loops).
Source: Rfam by way of RNAcentral
UCCCUGGUGGCUCAGCUGGUAAAGAAUCUGCCUGCAAUGUAGAAGACCUGGGUUUGAUCCCUGGGCUGGGAA